GUCCCCGUGGUGCAAAUGGUUAACGCACUUGUCUGCUAACCAAAAGGUUGGAGGUUCGAGUCCACCCAGAGAUG
This 74-nucleotide transfer RNA is filed under the name Loxodonta africana (African savanna elephant). It matches the Rfam family "tRNA". From Rfam's summary of the family: Transfer RNA (tRNA) molecules are approximately 80 nucleotides in length. Lineage: Eukaryota; Metazoa; Chordata; Mammalia; Proboscidea; Elephantidae. The record is from Rfam by way of RNAcentral.